GUGGGGAAUAUUGGACAAUGGGCGCAAGCCUGAUCCAGCCAUGCCGCGUGGGUGAAGAAGGCCUUCGGGUUGUAAAGCCCUUUUGUCCGGGAAGAAAUCGUCUGGGCUAAUACCCCGGGCGGAUGACGGUACCGGAAGAAUAAGCACCGGCUAACUUCGUGCCAGCAGCCGCGGUAAUACGAAGGGUGCAAGCGUUACUCGGAAUUACUGGGCGUAAAGCGUGCGUAGGCGGUUCGUUAAGUCCGAUGUGAAAGCCCUGGGCUCAACCUGGGAACUGCAUUGGAAACUGGCGGGCUGGAGUGCGGUAGAGGGUGGCGGAAUUCCCGGUGUAGCAGUGAAAUGCGUAGAUAUCGGGAGGAACACCCGUGGCGAAGGCGGCCACCUGGACCAGCACUGACGCUGAGGCACGAAAGCGUGGGGAGCAAACAGGAUUAGAAACCCUAGUAGUCC
RNAcentral lists this ribosomal RNA (450 nucleotides) under uncultured bacterium. Its description in RNAcentral is "bacterial SSU rRNA". It matches the Rfam family "Bacterial small subunit ribosomal RNA", at positions 354 to 796 of the family's 1533-position model. The record is from RNAcentral.